RNAcentral lists this microRNA precursor (275 nucleotides) under Oryza sativa Japonica Group (Japanese rice). RNAcentral describes it as "MIR821 microRNA precursor family". It matches the Rfam family "MIR821 microRNA precursor family". The record is from Rfam by way of RNAcentral. Lineage: Eukaryota; Viridiplantae; Streptophyta; Magnoliopsida; Poales; Poaceae.
GAUUUCAAUUGAAAAAGUCAUCAACAACAAAGUUGAAUAACUCAUCAAGAUCUAAAACUUUUACUUUUGUUAUUUCUUCAUCCGACGAAAUGUUAGUAAUAUUAUUCACAAAUUUUACAUAUAUGUGUUAUAGUUUAUAAAACCAGAUAAGAGAUAUGUCAAUUUUGUGAACAAUGUUACUAUCACUUUGUCGUAUGAAGAAAUGACCAAAAUAAAAGUUUUAGAUCUUGAUGAGUUAUUCAACUUUAUUGUUGAUGACUUUUUCAGUUGAUAUC